Long non-coding RNA from Panicum virgatum (switchgrass), 360 nucleotides. RefSeq lists it as uncharacterized. The record is from RefSeq and is a predicted model, not a curated record. The transcript is spliced from 2 exons. Lineage: Eukaryota; Viridiplantae; Streptophyta; Magnoliopsida; Poales; Poaceae.
CAUCAGGCCCAAACAACAAGUGAGAAGGCAGCCACCACCUUUUGCAGCAACAACAGGAGAGGAGGAAGAAGGAACUGAACAGCAGGCUGUAGUGGAAGUGAUGACAGAACAACUACAACCCACAGUGCAACCAUUGAUAGUCCAAGAAAGUAUGCUGUCCCAGAUGUUGUCACAGGUUACAGAUCAUAUUAACCUGUCAAUUGAUCAUGGGCCUCUCCCUUCUUCAUCUUUCAUCGACAACAACCAGCCCACUUCAAGACCAGUUGUCCUCACCACAGCAACAAAACAAGGAAGGUCCAAGGCCAAGAAUCAGGCAAAGAAGAGGAAUGAGACGUCUACUGGAGAGAAUCCUGGAAAAAA